This 1171-nucleotide ribosomal RNA is filed under the name uncultured Nocardioides sp. Its description in RNAcentral is "bacterial SSU rRNA". It matches the Rfam family "Bacterial small subunit ribosomal RNA", at positions 249 to 1434 of the family's 1533-position model. The record is from RNAcentral. Lineage: Bacteria; Bacillati; Actinomycetota; Actinomycetes; Propionibacteriales; Nocardioidaceae.
AUGGUGAGGUAAUGGCUCACCAUGGCUUCGACGGGUAGCCGGCCUGAGAGGGUGACCGGCCACACUGGGACUGAGACACGGCCAAGACUCCUACGGGAGGCAGCAGUGGGGAAUAUUGGACAAUGGGCGGAAGCCUGAUCCAGCAACGCCGCGUGAGGGAUGACGGCCUUCGGGUUGUAAACCUCUUUCGGUGGGGACNAAGCGCAAGUGACGGUACCCACUAAAGAAGCACCGGCCAACUACGUGCCAGCAGCCGCGGUAAUACGUAGGGUGCGAGCGUUGUCCGGAAUUAUUGGGCGUAAAGGGCUCGUAGGCGGUUUGUCGCGUCGGGAGUGAAAACCAGGUGCUUAACACCUGGCUUGCUUUCGAUACGGGCAGACUAGAGGUAUUCAGGGGAGAACGGAAUUCCUGGUGUAGCGGUGAAAUGCGCAGAUAUCAGGAGGAACACCGGUGGCGAAGGCGGUUCUCUGGGAAUGACCUGACGCUGAGGAGCGAAAGUGUGGGGAGCGAACAGGAUUAGAUACCCUGGUAGUCCACACCGUAAACGUUGGGCGCUAGGUGUGGGGUCCAUUCCACGGAUUCCGUGCCGCAGCUAACGCAUUAAGCGCCCCGCCUGGGGAGUACGGCCGCAAGGCUAAAACUCAAAGGAAUUGACGGGGGCCCGCACAAGCGGCGGAGCAUGCGGAUUAAUUCGAUGCAACGCGAAGAACCUUACCUGGGUUUGACAUACACCCUGCCGCUCCAGAGAUGGGGCUUCUUUUGGGGGUGUACAGGUGGUGCAUGGCUGUCGUCAGCUCGUGUCGUGAGAUGUUGGGUUAAGUCCCGCAACGAGCGCAACCCUCGUUCUAUGUUGCCAGCACGUAAUGGUGGGGACUCAUAGGAGACUGCCGGGGUCAACUCGGAGGAAGGUGGGGAUGACGUCAAGUCAUCAUGCCCCUUAUGUCCAGGGCUUCACGCAUGCUACAAUGACCGGUACAAAGGGCUGCGAUCCCGUAAGGGGGAGCGAAUCCCAAAAAGCCGGUCUCAGUUCGGAUUGGGGUCUGCAACUCGGCCCCAUGAAGUCGGAGUCGCUAGUAAUCGCAGAUCAGCAACGCUGCGGUGAAUACGUUCCCGGGCCUUGUACACACCGCCCGUCACGUCACGAAAGUCGGCAACACCCGAAGCCGGUGGC